GGGAACGUUUCAUUUAGUCCAACUACAGUGGUGGUUCUGGGCCCUGGGCAUAUUCUUUUUUAUACCUCUUUUUAUUUUCGAAAGUACAUACGGUAUAAUGCAAAAUCGACGUUUUUUUUUCUAGAUCACACUAAGGAGUCCUUUUAUGGUCCAUUGACUAUACUGUUUGAUCGUCUAUUGUUGGGACCUAUUCCGGCAGGUCGCGCGCGCAAAAAAGACGUUUCCAGCUUCGUUCCAAAUUCCAGUGGGAUUCAGGUGAAUCCACUAACGCUGUUACGAUCGGUUCUAAAUACUUGUGCAGAUGAACCAGUUAAAACUCAUUACCUCCGCCCAUCGACUUAUUGAGAUGAUCGGAGAGGUGGCUGUUAUUGGGGGGAAAAGACUGACUUAAAUGAUGAUCAGGACAAAUUCUUCUUGGAAGUCGAUCCUAAUCGGAAUUUAAACACUUAACUGCAUCCAGAUAAGGGUAUUACGUCCACUGUCACGUGCUAUUGUGUUUACUAUGUCAACAUGAUCAAAUUUUGAUAACACACAUGUCUCAUCCUCCUUUUGAUGUUGACAUUCCAAACUGGAGAAUCCGGAAAGUUCUAGCUUGGGCAUAUAGGGGCUUACUACGUACGCUCACGAUGGUUCGAUGUUUUUUUCCGUGGGAAGAGGCGGCGACAAAAUAUCGCGUGAUGCUGAGACUCCCCUUUCGCAACAACAUUUGAAGGUUUUUUCUGUUCCAGUCAUUUUGUUACCUCUUGUUUAGUUGCCACAGCUACUCUUGAGUGUCUCAACUGGAUUGGACAUUAGAUGAAAAAGGAUUCAAGGACAUCAGUCUCAAAAUGUAUCAUCAACGUGAUCAAUAUCACGGGAUCCUUUUUUUUUCAAAAAAUGUUUAGCCAGAUCUUCUUGUGGGCGUAUUUCAUUUGACUAUUGAACACAUCAAAACUAGUGCGUAGCUUUUAUUCUCCAUAUUCCAGUUUUUCAGGUUUUGUCGCGGUUUCUUUCCGCCAUGAACGCGUAACAAAAAUUGUAGGAAAAAAAGAGUAAAGGUUAUUGCCUUGGACAAGACAUUUGGACCGCUGUGGCCGACUUAGUUUUUUUUUUAUAAUGACGCCUUAUCAUUAAUGUGACUGUAGAGAAAGAUUUCUUUUUUGACUCUCUCUUAGCGACUGCCACACAAUGACCACGUAACGGAGUGGCUACUACGCCAAAGUUCACAUGACGCAGCGAAAUUCGUUUUAUGUAUAUGGUGGCGUGAUGGUGGCCUGAUGUGUCCAGCGAUCAACAGUAAUCUGACCAACAGCCAACUUGUUUGACCAUAAUCCGAUCAGAUGAUUUCAAAUCUCUUUAAAAGCAUUAAUUUAUCGGGAUGUAUCCAGUGCACCAUUUUCUUCUUUUUAAUGAACGGGUUGUUUUGAAAACAGAUAGACCCGUUGGACUAUGAACUUUACGAUUCCUUUUUUUCUCUUUCGACAGAUUUUGCACUUUGCUUCCAUCUCUUAUUGCGCGCCCUUGACUCGCCCCCUUCCGGAUCAAAAUUUCAAGCUGUGCGUCUGUCGGGGCAAAGUUGGAACCAACCUCCCUCAAUCCGGAAAGUGAUGAGUAUUGUAGUAGGGGCGGAUGUCUCCGUGGCUACACUCACACAGUGUCGUCGACGCAGUAAAUUCUUACUCAAGGAAAUAAUUUAUUGCAAUGUACGUACGUACGUCACGAACUUUGUGGCCUCGCACGCAAUAAGAAAUUUUGUUUUGAUGGCGGAAGUGAAGUCACGAAUUUACAGCAGAAAAAUUGAGAUGGCGACACACAGCUUUGAUGUGGCGUGAUGUCCGUAUGAUAAGAAACAAGCCUUGAUAAUUACUGCAAUCAUUCCAGGUACGAAUCGCUUACGUCAACGAAAACAAGGCGAACUUGAAUGGCGGCCAAUUGGCACGCAUGUUUUAGACCUAAAUUCGAGUUGUGCCAAUGUUAAGUUAUUAAUACCCCUAUUUUAAAAUGCAGAAUAGGCAAUUAUCUUUAAAUCUCACGCACUUUCAAGGUUAUCCCAGAAUGUCUAAUGGAGAUUUCCCCACAGUUGUAAAGCACAACAAACCAGAAAUAGCUUUCGUAUUGAUCCACUUAAGAGAUUUUUACC
Long non-coding RNA from Daphnia pulicaria, 2119 nucleotides. RefSeq lists it as uncharacterized. Lineage: Eukaryota; Metazoa; Arthropoda; Branchiopoda; Diplostraca; Daphniidae. The transcript has 8 exons. The record is from RefSeq and is a predicted model, not a curated record.